This 497-nucleotide ribosomal RNA is filed under the name uncultured bacterium. RNAcentral's name for it is "partial 16S ribosomal RNA". It matches the Rfam family "Bacterial small subunit ribosomal RNA", at positions 28 to 507 of the family's 1533-position model. The record is from RNAcentral.
GACGAACGCUGGCGGCGUGCCUAAUACAUGCAAGUUGAGCGCUGAAGGUUGGUACUUGUACCAACUGGAUGAGCAGCGAACGGGUGAGUAACGCGUGGGGAAUCUGCCUUUGAGCGGGGGACAACAUUUGGAAACGAAUGCUAAUACCGCAUAAAAACUUUAAACACAAGUUUUAAGUUUGAAAGAUGCAAUUGCAUCACUCAAAGAUGAUCCCGCGUUGUAUUAGCUAGUUGGUGAGGUAAAGGCUCACCAAGGCGAUGAUACAUAGCCGACCUGAGAGGGUGAUCGGCCAAAUUGGGACUGAGACACGGCCCAAACUCCUACGGGAGGCAGCAGUAGGGAAUCUUCGGCAAUGGACGAAAGUCUGACCGAGCAACGCCGCGUGAGUGAAGAAGGGUUUCGGAUCGGAAAACUCUGUUGGUAGAGAAGAACGUUGGUGAGAGUGGAAAGCUCAUCAAGUGACGGUAACUACACAGAAAGGGACGGCUAACUACGUG